Molecule: non-coding RNA, 191 nt
Organism: Plectropomus leopardus (leopard coralgrouper)
Lineage: Eukaryota; Metazoa; Chordata; Actinopteri; Perciformes; Serranidae
Source: RefSeq, a predicted model, not a curated record
UGUGCAGGUGUCCGCUCUGGAUCAGGAGCUGAUUGAAGUUGAUCCCGACACAAAGGAGAUGCUGAAGCUGCUGGACUUCGGCGGUCUGUCCAACCUGCAGGUGACGCAGCCGACCAUCGGCAUGAACUUCAAGACGCCGCGAGGAGUCUGACCUCUGUAAAGUAUCUUAAUAAUAAACUUUGGGACAAAAA